This 466-nucleotide ribosomal RNA is filed under the name Pycnococcus provasolii. Its description in RNAcentral is "partial Bacterial small subunit ribosomal RNA". It matches the Rfam family "Bacterial small subunit ribosomal RNA", at positions 343 to 826 of the family's 1533-position model. The record is from RNAcentral. Lineage: Eukaryota; Viridiplantae; Chlorophyta; Pseudoscourfieldiophyceae; Pseudoscourfieldiales; Pycnococcaceae.
GGGAGGCAGCAGCAAGGAAUUUUCGGCAAUGGGCGCAAGCCUGACCGAGCAACGCCGCGUGGAGGAUGACGGCUUUCGGGUUGUAAACUCCUUUUGGGAGGGACGAUAAUGACGGUACCUUCCGAAUAAGCCCCGGCUAACUCUGUGCCAGCAGCCGCGGUAAUACAGAGGCCUCAAGCGUUAGGCGGAAUCACUGGGCUUAAAGCGCGUGUAGGUGGACUUUUAAGUGCUUUGUGAAAUCCCACGGCUCAACCGUGGAACUGCUGAGCAUACUGGAAGUCUUGGGCUAUCUAGGGGCAACCGGAACAAGCGGUGGAGCGGUGAAAUGCGUAGAUAUCGCUUGGAACGCCAAAGGUGAAGACAGGUUGCUGGAGAUAUGCCGACACUGAGACGCGAAAGCCAGGGGAGCAAACGGGAUUAGAUACCCCGGUAGUCCUGGCCCUAAACGAUGUCCACUGGAUCGCGG